GGGCCCGUAGCUCAAAGGCAGAGCCGCGGACUCAUAAUCCGUCGGUUGCUGGUUCGAGUCCAGCCGGGCCCACCA
RNAcentral lists this transfer RNA (75 nucleotides) under Candidatus Sumerlaeota bacterium. Its description in RNAcentral is "tRNA-Ile". It matches the Rfam family "tRNA". Rfam says of the family: Transfer RNA (tRNA) molecules are approximately 80 nucleotides in length. Their secondary structure includes four short double-helical elements and three loops (D, anti-codon, and T loops). The record is from RNAcentral. Lineage: Bacteria; Candidatus Sumerlaeota.